GGCGCUGUAGUGUAGCGGUUAUCACUUGAGAUUCUGAGGAGAGUUCUCAUAACCCAGGUUCGAUUCCUGGCAGUGCCU
This is a transfer RNA of 78 nucleotides. It matches the Rfam family "tRNA". From Rfam's summary of the family: Transfer RNA (tRNA) molecules are approximately 80 nucleotides in length. Their secondary structure includes four short double-helical elements and three loops (D, anti-codon, and T loops). Further hydrogen bonds mediate the characteristic L-shaped molecular structure. tRNAs have two regions of fundamental functional importance: the anti-codon, which is responsible for specific mRNA codon recognition, and the 3' end, to which the tRNAs corresponding amino acid is attached (by aminoacyl-tRNA synthetases). tRNAs cope with the degeneracy of the genetic code in two manners: having more than one tRNA (with a specific anti-codon) for a particular amino acid; and 'wobble' base-pairing, i.e. permitting non-standard base-pairing at the 3rd anti-codon position.